GUGCUCUGGUGUACAGAGGCUGAGGACAGAGCAAGGACAAAUCUCCUGCUUUUAAUUUUGCUGAGGGUGUAAAAUGAGUCGAGGCUUUCUGCAGUCACUAUUCUAUUCAUAUCUUUUGUGUCCGAUUCUAUUUUUGUUGGCUGUGCCCCUGGAGGUGGAGGUGUGGAAGUGCGUUUCUGCUGGUCUUUGCAAGCGGUGUAGAUGUUUCCUCUGUUCCAGGCACCACCUCAGACGCUGCGGCCUUACAGGAGGAGUAGGCGGAUGUCAGCGUGGCCAUUUCUCACCUGUCUGUAACUUUUUAAUACUUCCUUUUACUUGGGUUUGCAUUUCUUCCAUGGAACGAACAUCUCUGGGUAGCCACUGGGAGGUGUAAACGGCUUGGGAUGGAAACCACAGCUUGUAGGUGCGCCCUCUGCCAGGCUUUUCUGGCACCCGAGGAAGCCCAGUCUCUGUCUGCUCCCAAGCGAAAGGGAUAUUACCAGCUGCUCGGUGAGAAAACAAAUUCACAGAGAUACAGGAAAGUGUGUUAAGUUGGUGGGAAGCAACGGGCAUGAGAUUCCUGGCAGCUCGGGUGACUGGCAUUAUUUUGGAACCCAAUUCUCAAACAUCUGGGAUUAGCUCUCCUGGAAAUGUGAGGAUGUGGGCCCUCUAGUGCCACUUGGAAAAUGUCAGUAUUCCAGCCCACAGUCUGCAAGGGAGGUGUUAUUUGGCAAGUCUCCUGCAUGUGGCCGGUCCAACUGGAUAAUAGGUCCAGCAGUAACUCCUACCAAUAGGAACUCUUCCCCUUCAGUGGUUGCUUGAUGUCCUGUGUGAAAUGAGAGUUCAGCCAAUGGUAUAGGCAAUUCUUAGUGGACAAGUAUCUAUGCAUGUAAUUCUGCAGUAACUGGUGUCUCCAUGUCUGCCAUUCUCCCUUGCCAGCCCAGCAGAGAUAACUGAAGUUACCUGGAAAUAAAUUUCUCCAUCAAGUGUCCUAGCUGAGGCUUUGCUGCAAUAACAGCACAUGCACAACUUGUGCUGCUUAGUUUAUCUUUGGAUGGACAAUUGCUAUCUCCAGGCCUACAGAGUAAGCAUUGUUAGAUAUAUUAAAAUAAUUUUUAAAAAGUCUUCUGACUCCAAAGUUCACAGCCUUUCAGUUUAUGUAUAUCCAGCUGGGAAAUCAUGCCCACUAAUUUUUACUGAAGUUUGCAGUUGAUUGACCCACCAGUACAAUGCCAGGAUGCUGGGUAGACUUGUGCAGCUCCUCCGAAGUUCAAGUGCGUUCAAGACGCAUGGCUCAAGGAUGACCAGUGUGUUACCUCUAAUAUCAUUGAUGGAUAAAACCCCUACAGAUUCAAGUUGUAGUGGAUAUGACAGUGUCUGUUGCAAGUGGAGCUGUUUCAAAAUGCAAACCAGAAUUUCUAAGUGUCACUGAAAUGCUGAAGAUCCAUUGAGGAGCAGGUGUGGGGUGGUGGAUGGUAAAGGCUUUUUUAGUGAAACUGUUCAAAAGAGCAAGUCUGCUGAUGAAGGGGGGGGUCCUAUGGUCACCUCCAACAUUAUAAGCAGAAUGAAAAGCAGCAGCAGCAGCAAAAUCCAGUAAUGCACCAAAAGAUAAGUGUCCAGCCUAAAUCAGGACAACAAAAAUAUCUGUGCUGGUGAAUUAAUAUGCCAGUCUACACCAUAUUUCCUGAAGCAGUUGAACCCUUAGCCAUGAAACUCAUCCCAGGAAGAAGAGCUGUUGUAAUGACAGUGCUAUAGAGGGGGUUAGAUCUGCCUCCUAGAUGAGCUGUUUACUGUUAUGACAAGCUUGCAUUUGUGAAAUGCAUACUUUUCACAGAAUCACAGAAUCAUUAAGGUUGGAAAAGAUCUUCAAGAUUAUUGAGUCCGACCUUUGAGCAAACACCACCAUGUCAACUAAAUCACAGCAUUAAGUGCCAGAUCCAGUCAUUUAUUGAAUGCUACCAGGGAUGCUGACUGCAGCACCUCCCUGAGCAGCCUGUUCCAAUGCUUUACAACCCUUUCAGUGAAGAAAUUCUUCCUGAUGUUCAGCCUGAAACUCCCCUUGAGCUUGAGGCCGUUUCCUCUCCUCCUGUCACUAGUUGCCUGGGAGAAGUGGCUGACCCCCACCUUGCUACAACCUCCUUUCAGGUAGUUGUAGAGAGAAGUAAUGUCUCCCCUGAACUUCCUGUUCUCCAGGCUAAACACUGCCAGCUUCCUCAGCCACUCCUCAUCUGACUUACUCUCUAGACCCUUCACCAGCUCUGUUGCCCUUCCCCGGAUCUGCUCCAUCACCUCAACACCCUUCUAGCAGUGAGGGGCCCAGAACUGGACACAGUACUCAAGGU
This is a long non-coding RNA of Lepidothrix coronata (blue-crowned manakin), 2321 nucleotides long. RefSeq lists it as uncharacterized. The transcript is spliced from 3 exons. The record is from RefSeq and is a predicted model, not a curated record. Lineage: Eukaryota; Metazoa; Chordata; Aves; Passeriformes; Pipridae.